GCCGGGCAUGGUGGCGCAUGCCUGUAGUCCCAGCUACUUGGGGGCUGAGGCAGGAGGAUCACUUGAGCCCAGGAGGUGGAGGUUGCAGUGAGCCAAAAUAGUGCCAUUGCACUCCAGCCUGGAUGACAGAGUGAGACCCUUUCUCAA
This is an unclassified non-coding RNA of Papio anubis (olive baboon), 147 nucleotides long. It matches the Rfam family "Metazoan signal recognition particle RNA". From Rfam's summary of the family: The signal recognition particle (SRP) is a universally conserved ribonucleoprotein. The record is from Ensembl. NCBI's taxonomy places the organism in Eukaryota, Metazoa, Chordata, Mammalia, Primates, Cercopithecidae.